This is a non-coding RNA of Podarcis lilfordi (Lilford's wall lizard), 71 nucleotides long. The record is from the annotation of a GenBank genome assembly. Lineage: Eukaryota; Metazoa; Chordata; Lepidosauria; Squamata; Lacertidae.
GCAGAUAGCUCAGUCGGUAGAGCAUGAGACUCUUAAGGUCAGGACUGUAGGUUCAAGCCUCAUGUUGGGCA